Molecule: ribosomal RNA, 433 nt
Filed under: uncultured bacterium
Lineage: Bacteria
Description: partial 16S ribosomal RNA
Rfam family: Bacterial small subunit ribosomal RNA
Source: RNAcentral
AACGAACGCUGGCGGCAUGCCUAACACAUGCAAGUCGAACGAGACCUUCGGGUCUAGUGGCGCACGGGUGCGUAACGCGUGGGAACCUGCCCUUAGGUUCGGCAUAACUCCCCGAAAGGGGUGCUAAUACCGGAUAAUGUCUUCGGACCAAAGAUUUAUCGCCUUUGGAUGGGCCCGCGUUGGAUUCGCUAGUUGGUAGGGUAAAAGCCUACCAAGGCGACGAUCCAUAGCUGGUCUGAGAGGAUGAUCAGCCACACUGGGACUGAGACACGGCCCAGACUCCUACGCGAGGCAGCAGUGGGGAAUAUUGGACAAUGGGCGAAGGCCUGAUCCAGCAAUGCCGCGUGAGUGAUGAAGGCCUUAGGGUUGUAAAGCUCUUUUACCCGGGAUGAUAAUGACAGUACCGGGAGAAUAAGCUCCGGCUAACUCCGUG